RNAcentral lists this ribosomal RNA (254 nucleotides) under uncultured bacterium. Its description in RNAcentral is "partial 16S ribosomal RNA". It matches the Rfam family "Bacterial small subunit ribosomal RNA", at positions 524 to 776 of the family's 1533-position model. The record is from RNAcentral.
UACGAAGGGGGGCUAGCGUUGCUCGGAAUCACUGGGCGUAAAGGGUGCGUAGGCGGCGCGGUAAGUCGGGUGUGAAAUUUCGAGGCUUAACUUCGAAACUGCAUUCGAUACUGCCGUGCUUGAGGACUGGAGAGGAGACUGGAAUUCAUGGUGUAGCAGUGAAAUGCGUAGAGAUCAUGAGGAAGACCAGUGGCGAAGGCGGGUCUCUGGACAGUUCCUGACGCUGAGGCACGAAGGUCAGGGGAGCAAACGGG